AGCCAACAACAUUAGCUGCUGAAAGCACAUCAGAGGGAAAAACUGGAACUGAAAUUGGAGUUGGUGACACUGAACCAGAAACACCCACGGAAGAGAUUAGAGAAGUGGAUGGCACUGUAUCUCAUGACAGCAAAGUGGAAAACAUAGAGGUCACAGCAAUAGAAAAAGAGGAAUAUAUAGGGCAAGAUGUGUCAAACAAUGAUACAAGUGAUGCUGAUGACAGUUUUGAUGACAUGCUUACAGAGGAAGUGGAAGACAAGCAAUGGCUUCUGAAAGUAAAAUUGGUAAUGACCAGCAAACACACAGAGAGACUGGAGGCCAAAGUGAGAAACAUAAAAUUGUAUGGCUCUUCAUUUCAUUGCCUGAAACCGAGAAGCUGGAUAAGUGAUGAGGUACAAGCCAUCUCAUCAGUAGUUUCCACUGCCAUUCUCUCAGGCAGAGCUACACAAAUGAAAGUGAAGAGUGAAUUACUUCAAAAUGAUAUAUUACUGCUUCCUUACCACACACCAGGUCAUUGGGUUCUUGCGAUAGCCUUGAUGAAAAAAAAGGAAUUGUUAAUAAUUGACCCCUUGUGUGAUGAGAUCAGAUAUGAAAGAACAUGCCUGAGGAAUUGGAGAAACUUCAUCAAAUGAUUAACUAGUAAAUCCUCAUCUGAUUGGAACAGUAAAAUUGUGCAGCAUCCCAGACAAAGUGAUGGCCACAACUGUGGACCACUCAUCUUAAAGUUUGCAGAAACAUAUUUGCAGCACAAAGACAUCAGUACGGUGGAAACAACACAGAAGGCUAAUACUGCGUUUAGAAGACAUAUAGCAAUUCUUCUAAUGAAGGAGUCAGAACGCGUGGAGGACUACUGCAUAUACUGCAACCUUAUCGACUGUGAAAAAGAAAGUGAGGAUUGCACGAUGGUCCAGUGUGAUUCUUGCAAGAGGUGGGCACACAUACCAUGCAUUACAGAAGGAACCAAUCAAGAAAACCUGACAUAUGAGAAGGAGUACAACUGCAAGACAUGUGCAUAGUUCACUUCAUUACCAAAAAAAAAAAAAAGGCAAUAAAGAAAACCCAUUGUUUAACUGCCUCUUGUUCAAAACAUAAUGCAACCCAAAGAAAUAUAUUUCUACGUAUACAUCAGAUUAAAAUAAAUGUUUUUGAUGUUAAAUAUA
Long non-coding RNA from Gopherus flavomarginatus (Mexican gopher tortoise), 1160 nucleotides. RefSeq lists it as uncharacterized. The record is from RefSeq and is a predicted model, not a curated record. The transcript is spliced from 9 exons. Lineage: Eukaryota; Metazoa; Chordata; Testudines; Testudinidae.